Molecule: ribosomal RNA, 493 nt
Filed under: uncultured bacterium
Lineage: Bacteria
Description: partial 16S ribosomal RNA
Rfam family: Bacterial small subunit ribosomal RNA
Source: RNAcentral
AUUGAACGCUGGCGGCAUGCUUUACACAUGCAAGUCGAACGGCAGCGAGGAGAAGCUUGCUUCUCUGUCGGCGAGUGGCGAACGGGUGAGUAUAGCAUCGGAACGUGCCAAGUAGUGGGGGUUAUCCAAACGAAAGUUUGGCUAAUACCGCGUAAGCUCUACGGAGGAAAGUAGGGGACCUAAAUAAGGCCUUACGCUAUUUGAUCGGCCGAUGUCGGAUUAGCUAGUUGGUGGGGUAAUGGCUCACCAAGGCAAAGAUCCGUAGCGGGUCUGAGAGGACGAACCGCCACACGGGGACUGAGACACGGCCCAGACUCCGACGGGAAGCAGCAGUGGGGAAUUUUGGACAAUGGGGGAAAGCCUGAUCCAGCCAAGCCGCGUGUAUGAAGAAGGACUUAGGGUUGUAAAAUACUUUUGUUAGGGAAGAAAAGAUAGUUUUUAAUAAAAAAUAGUGAUGACGGUACCUAAAGAAUAAGCACCGGCUAACUACGUG